GAUGAACGCUGGCGGCGUGCUUAACACAUGCAAGUCGAACGGGAAACCUUUUAUUGAAGCUUCGGCAGAUUUCGCUGGUUUCUAGUGGCGGACGGGUGAGUAACGCGUGGGUAACCUGCCUUAUACAGGGGGAUAACAACCAGAAAUGGUUGCUAAUACCGCAUAAGCGCACAGGACCGCAUGGUCCGGUGUGAAAAACUCCGGUGGUAUAAGAUGGACCCGCGUUGGAUUAGCUAGUUGGCAGGGUAACGGCCUACCAAGGCGACGAUCCAUAGCCGGCCUGAGAGGGGGAACGGCCACAUUGGGACUGAGACACGGCCCAGACUCCUACGGGAGGCAGCAGUGGGGAAUAUUGCACAAUGGGGGAAACCCUGAUGCAGCGACGCCGCGUGAAGGAAGAAGUAUCUCGGUAUGUAAACUUCUAUCAGCAGGGAAGAUAGUGACGGUACCUGACUAAGAAGCCCCGGCUAACUACGUG
Molecule: ribosomal RNA, 478 nt
Filed under: uncultured bacterium
Lineage: Bacteria
Description: partial 16S ribosomal RNA
Rfam family: Bacterial small subunit ribosomal RNA
Source: RNAcentral